AGCUUCUUAGCGCAGUAGGUAGCGCGUUGGGCUCAUAUCUAAACCCUAUGAAACCUUUCCACUCUCAAGUGGCGACACCCAAAGGUCGUCGGAUCGAAACCGACAGAAGCUA
Molecule: non-coding RNA, 112 nt
Organism: Sporisorium reilianum f. sp. reilianum
Lineage: Eukaryota; Fungi; Basidiomycota; Ustilaginomycetes; Ustilaginales; Ustilaginaceae
Source: the annotation of a GenBank genome assembly